GGCUCACCUAGGCGACGAUCCCUAGCUGGUCUGAGAGGAUGACCAGCCACACUGGAACUGAGACACGGUCCAGACUCCUACGGGAGGCAGCAGUGGGGAAUAUUGCACAAUGGGCGCAAGCCUGAUGCAGCCAUGCCGCGUGUAUGAAGAAGGCCUUCGGGUUGUAAAGUACUUUCAGCGGGGAGGAAGGCGAUAAGGUUAAUAACCUUGUCGAUUGACGUUACCCGCAGAAGAAGCACCGGCUAACUCCGUGCCAGCAGCCGCGGUAAUACGGAGGGUGCAAGCGUUAAUCGGAAUUACUGGGCGUAAAGCGCACGCAGGCGGUCUGUCAAGUCGGAUGUGAAAUCCCCGGGCUCAACCU
This 361-nucleotide ribosomal RNA is filed under the name Klebsiella quasipneumoniae subsp. similipneumoniae. RNAcentral's name for it is "bacterial SSU rRNA". It matches the Rfam family "Bacterial small subunit ribosomal RNA", at positions 262 to 615 of the family's 1533-position model. Lineage: Bacteria; Pseudomonadati; Pseudomonadota; Gammaproteobacteria; Enterobacterales; Enterobacteriaceae. The record is from RNAcentral.